This is a long non-coding RNA of Betta splendens (Siamese fighting fish), 530 nucleotides long. RefSeq lists it as uncharacterized. The transcript is spliced from 3 exons. The record is from RefSeq and is a predicted model, not a curated record. NCBI's taxonomy places the organism in Eukaryota, Metazoa, Chordata, Actinopteri, Anabantiformes, Osphronemidae.
GACCGGUGCCAGAAACACUGCCUCAGCAUUUAUACGUAUGUGCAUACGUAUUCAUACGUAUUCAGAAAUUCUGGAUUUGUUUCACGGCUCCUGUUGGAAAAAAAGGACCUAUUCCUUAAGUCCGUCAUCCACUCACUGAAGAGGGCAAAUCCCAGUUGCCCACAUGCAAGGAGGCUGUCAAACAGAGAAAUCACUGCAGACUGUUGGUACACAGACAUCUGCUGCCCAGCUCAGGAGUGAAGGUGAUGGUGAGGACAGCCACAGCUUCCAUCUGGUAGAGGACUGCUUCCGCUCAGUCUUCCAAAUAGUGAUGAGAACAAGGAUCACCACAUCUCCCUGUUUACCCUACUUUCAUGCAUUUCGUCUGCAAGGCCCUGCAAAAGCUUCUCCUUCGUCCUCAAACCCCCAGACUUCUUAAUUAACUCAGUAACCUAUACAUUGCACAUUGGAGUGUGAAGGUAACAGUUUGUUCUAGCUUUGGAGUAGUGGUGUAUUUUUUUGGUUUACAAUAAAGUUGGCUUUAACUAUUA